This 253-nucleotide ribosomal RNA is filed under the name uncultured bacterium. RNAcentral's name for it is "partial 16S ribosomal RNA". It matches the Rfam family "Bacterial small subunit ribosomal RNA", at positions 524 to 776 of the family's 1533-position model. The record is from RNAcentral.
UACGAGGGGUGCAAGCGUUGCUCGGAAUUAUUGGGCGUAAAGGGUAGGUAGGUGGUCUCAUUUGUCUGGGGUGAAAGCUCGGGGCUCAACCCCGAGUCGGCCGUGCGAACUGCUGGGCUUGAGCACUGUAGAGGCAGGCGGAAUUCCGGGUGUAGCGGUGGAAUGCGUAGAGAUCCGGAAGAACACCGGUGGCGAAGGCGGCCUGCUGGGCAGUGGCUGACACUGAGGCGCGACAGCGUGGGGAGCAAACAGG